This 570-nucleotide unclassified non-coding RNA is filed under the name Hevea brasiliensis (rubber tree). The record is from RNAcentral. Lineage: Eukaryota; Viridiplantae; Streptophyta; Magnoliopsida; Malpighiales; Euphorbiaceae.
ACAAGGAAUUUGAUGAAUUUUACAGGAAGUUGCAGUAUGGUAAUGAGAAUGCACGACUUUGAUUGAUCUUUUUCCUUGCAACAAUGGUGCUUGCAAAGUAUCAUGAACUUAGAGAGGAGAAAGCUUUCUCUAUCUUGAGAGUUAAAAAUAAGAAUCCAGCAACCGAAAUAAGCAGUCCUGCAAGCAUGAUCACCACCAGUGCGUGCAUCGAAAUGUAGGAGUUAACGAAGAACACAACUGCAAUGGAAGCACUUUGCCAGACCUUGAGUUGCGCGAAUGCUCCUUCCAUAUCAUGCUUGAAAAGUAUUCCAAGCAAAGCACUAAGCUGUGUAUUUAAUACUCCGUCACCAAUGCCCAACAUAGCUGCCAUGAGAAGUGGGUACAUGACACCAAGUAUUCCACUGGCUAAACUGUAUUUUAGCAGAAUCCAGAGAAAUACAACAGCAUGAAGAAAAGCUCCAGCAGAUACUAUCCAUGUGAUUGAUGGAAGACCAGAUGUAAGUCGACCAGCAGUGAGUGAACAUAUGGCAUCAAAGGCACCAUACACUGCCAUUGCACCACCAACACCAG